Molecule: ribosomal RNA, 253 nt
Filed under: uncultured bacterium
Lineage: Bacteria
Description: partial 16S ribosomal RNA
Rfam family: Bacterial small subunit ribosomal RNA
Source: RNAcentral
UACGGGGGGGGCAAGCGUUGUUCGGAAUUACUGGGCGUAAAGGGUUCGUAGGCGGCCAACUAAGUCAGACGUGAAAUCCCCAGGCUCAACCUGGGAACUGCGUCUGAUACUGGAUGGCUUGAAUUCGGGAGAGGGAUGCAGAAUUCCAGGUGUAGCGGUGAAAUGCGUAGAUAUCUGGAGGAAUACCGGUGGCGAAGGCGGCAUCCUGGACCGACAUUGACGCUGAGGAGCGAAAGCUAGGGGAGCAAACGGG